This 1464-nucleotide ribosomal RNA is filed under the name metagenome. Its description in RNAcentral is "bacterial LSU rRNA". It matches the Rfam family "Bacterial large subunit ribosomal RNA", at positions 1436 to 2925 of the family's 2925-position model. The record is from RNAcentral.
UUCCUGUACUGCUGUAUAUCAGAACUGUGGGGACACAGAGGGAAAGCACAGGCGCGGAACGGAAAGCCGCGUGCAAGCGAGGUACCGGACUGGUAGGAAAAACCGCCAGUCAACGGGAAGGCGUGAUGCGUACCGAAAUCAAGUAGGGAAGUGUGUGAGCCAGCUGUCAAGAAAAGCCGCUAUUGCGUAUACAGUACCCGUACCGUAAACCGACACAGGUGGAUGAGGAGAGAAUCCUAAGGCCGGCGGAAGAAGUAUUGUCAAGGAACUCGGCAAAAUGACCCUGUAACUUCGGGAGAAAGGGUGCCUCGAAAGAGGCCGCAGAGAAUUGGCCCAAGCAACUGUUUAGCAAAAACACAGGUCUAUGCGAAACCGAAAGGUGAGGUAUAUGGGCUGACGCCUGCCCGGUGCUGGAAGGUUAAGGGGAGAUGUUAGAGCAAUCGAAGCAUUGAACUUAAGCCCCAGUAAACGGCGGCCGUAACAAUAACGGUCCUAAGGUAGCGAAAUUCCUUGUCGGGUAAGUUCCGACCCGCACGAAAGGCGUAAUGAUUUGGGCGCUGUCUCGACAAUACAUCCGGUGAAAUUGAAGUACCAGUGAAGAUGCUGGUUACCCGCGCCAGGACGGAAAGACCCCAUGAGCUUUACUCCAGCUUGAUACUGGGAUUCGGUAUUGCAUGUACAGGAUAGGUGGGAGGCUAAGAAGCAUGGACGCCAGUCUAUGUGGAGCCGCUGUUGGGAUACCACCCUUGCGGUAUUGGAUUUCUAACCAGCCGCCGUGAAACCGGCGGUGGGACAAUGUCAGGCGGGGAGUUUGACUGGGGCGGUCGCCUCCGAAAGGGUAUCGGAGGCGCCCAAAGGUUCCCUCAGAAUGGUUGGGAACCAUUCGAAGAGUGCAAAGGCAGAAGGGAGCUUGACUGUGACACCGACGGGUGGAGCAGGUACGAAAGUAGGGCUUAGUGAUCCGGUGGUAUUAAGUGGGAAUGCCAUCGCUCAACGGAUAAAAGCUACCCUGGGAUAACAGGCUUAUCACUCCCAAGAGUUCACAUCGACGGAGUGGUUUGGCACCUCGAUGUCGGCUCAUCGCAUCCUGGGGCUGUAGUAGGUCCCAAGGGUUGGGCUGUUCGCCCAUUAAAGCGGUACGCGAGCUGGGUUCAGAACGUCGUGAGACAGUUCGGUCCCUAUCCGGCGUGGGCGCAGGAUAUUUGAGAGGAGCUGUCCUUAGUACGAGAGGACCGGGAUGGACUGACCUCUGGUGCACCGGUUGUUCCGCCAGGAGCAUAGCCGGGUAGCCAAGUCGGGAAGGGAUAAACGCUGAAGGCAUCUAAGCGUGAAGCCCCCCUCAAGAUGAGAUAUCCCAUGCGAAAGCGAUAAGACCCCUUGAAGACGACGAGGUAGAUAGGUCAGAGGUGGAAGCACAGCAAUGUGUGGAGCUGACUGAUACUAAUAGGUCGAAGGCUUAACCAA